Molecule: long non-coding RNA, 564 nt
Organism: Eriocheir sinensis (Chinese mitten crab)
Lineage: Eukaryota; Metazoa; Arthropoda; Malacostraca; Decapoda; Varunidae
Exons: 3
Source: RefSeq, a predicted model, not a curated record
AGGAGGACACACGUGCUGCCGCUCUCUCCGGGUGUCUGCUUGCACUGCUUGUUUACCUGCCGAGCGCCUGUGUUCGUGCCUCUCCGUGUGCCUUAUAGCCCGUACUGUGCCUGGUGGACUAGUCACUAGUGCAACGUGGUUGGAGCCUGAUGUGAUGGGCCUCUGCUUGCUGGCGAUAGGAAUUUGUGUACGGUAGACGAGAUCACAACAUAACAGCAGAAAUGAAGCUGGACGGGAAGUUGCAAUUUUGACAGAACGGACCAAGGACGUGAGAGUGAGACGCCGCGGCUGUCCUUCGCUCCGGGUGAGUCUACAGUGCCAUAAGUUAUCCAUUUCCUGCACCGUUUCCACAGCAGCACUCUAAGUUCAUAUAAAUGCACUAUGUUCGUUGUAGUCUACAGUGUCUCUACGCGCCUCCCAACUACCCUCGUUGUGUUAUUUGACCCACUUAUGAGAGCAGAGGCUCCAAUCAUUACGGAAGCAAAUGGGACUCGAUCAUAAAAGUAUACAAUCAUUAUUUAGCACGAAUAUUUGUCAUUUUCCAUUUUCUCCUGUGAAUAUAUU